Molecule: ribosomal RNA, 662 nt
Filed under: Psychrobacter sp. 845B7
Lineage: Bacteria; Pseudomonadati; Pseudomonadota; Gammaproteobacteria; Moraxellales; Moraxellaceae
Description: bacterial SSU rRNA
Rfam family: Bacterial small subunit ribosomal RNA
Source: RNAcentral
CCCUGGUAGUACACGCCGUAAAUCGAAGUCUACUAGUCGUUGGGUCCCUUGAGGACUUAGUGACGCAGCUAACGCAAUAAGUAGACCGCCUGGGGAGUACGGCCGCAAGGUUAAAACUCAAAUGAAAUUGACGGGGGCCCGCACAAAGCGGUGGAGCAUGUGGUUUAAUUCGAUGCAACGCGAAGAACCUUACCUGGUCUUGACAUAUAUAGAAUCCUGCAGAGAUGCGGGAGUGCCUUCGGGAAUUAGAAUACAGGUGCUGCAUGGCUGUAGUCAGCUCGUGUCGUGAGAUGUUGGGUUAAGUCCCGCAACGAGCGCAACCCUUGUCCUUAGUUACCAGCGGGUUAAGCCGGGAACUCUAAGGAUACUGCCAGUGACAAACUGGAGGAAGGCGGGGACGACGUCAAGUCAUCAUGGCCCUUACGACCAGGGCUACACACGUGCUACAAUGGUAGGUACAGAGGGCAGCUACACAGCGAUGUGAUGCGAAUCUCAAAAAGCCUAUCGUAGUCCAGAUUGGAGUCUGCAACUCGACUCCAUGAAGUAGGAAUCGCUAGUAAUCGCGGAUCAGAAUGCCGCGGUGAAUACGUUCCCGGGCCUUGUACAUCACCCUUUAAAGGCACCAUGGGAGUUGAUUGCACCAGAAGUGGAUAGCUUAAACC